GGGGGUGACAGGUUUCGACGAUCAGGUGUCUGACACCGGAGAAGCGUGCCGAGGACCUCAGAAGAUCUCGUUAACCAUUCUGGGAAACCAAUAACUGCCGAAAAGAAGCAGUCUGCUUUCGCCCUCGCCGCCUGAGCGAGGAGCGAAGCCGUCAGCCCGGGGCGUCCCUGACCCGGAUCCUGGCGUCGACUAGGGGACUCACCAACCACUCCGGUCACGGGAGUGCGCGGAACACCUCACAGUGACUGGGCCGCCACCGCGACGUGCCGUACGAAGCGCGGGGGCCGAGUAGCGACAGCACGGCUACGCACGUAGAAGACCGGCUCAGGUCUGAACGGACCCGGGUUCGAUUCCCGGCACCUCCACA
Molecule: transfer-messenger RNA, 367 nt
Filed under: marine eukaryotic metagenome
Rfam family: transfer-messenger RNA
About the family: Bacterial tmRNA, also known as 10Sa RNA or SsrA, is named for its dual tRNA and mRNA-like properties. Its role is to liberate the mRNA from a stalled ribosome. To accomplish this part of the tmRNA is used as a reading frame that ends in a translation stop signal.
Source: RNAcentral